AGUGAACGCUGGCGGUAGGCCUAACACAUGCAAGUCGAACGGCAGCACAGUAAGAGCUUGCUCUUACGGGUGGCGAGUGGCGGACGUGUGAGGAAUACAUCGGAAUCUACUUUUUCGUGGGGGAUAACGUAGGGAAACUUACGCUAAUACCGCAUACGACCUACGGGUGAAAGCAGGGGAUCUUCGCACCUUGCGCGAUUGAAUGAGCCGAUGUCGGAUUAGCUAGUUGGCGGGGUAAAGGCCCACCAAGGCGCCGAUCCGUAGCUGGUCUGAGAGGAUGAUCAGCCACACUGGAACUGAGACACGGUCCAGACUCCUACGGGAGGCAGCAGUGGGGAAUAUUGGACAAUGGGCGCAAGCCUGAUCCAGCCAUACCGCGUGGGUGAAGAAGGCCUUCGGGUUGUAAAGCCCUUUUGUUGGGAAAGAAAAGCAGCAGGUUAAUACCCAGCUGUUCUGACGGUACCCAAAGAAUAAGCAACGGCUAACUUCGUG
Molecule: ribosomal RNA, 492 nt
Filed under: uncultured bacterium
Lineage: Bacteria
Description: partial 16S ribosomal RNA
Rfam family: Bacterial small subunit ribosomal RNA
Source: RNAcentral